RNAcentral lists this ribosomal RNA (253 nucleotides) under uncultured bacterium. RNAcentral describes it as "partial 16S ribosomal RNA". It matches the Rfam family "Bacterial small subunit ribosomal RNA", at positions 524 to 776 of the family's 1533-position model. The record is from RNAcentral.
UACGGAGGGAGCUAGCGUUGUUCGGAAUUACUGGGCGUAAAGCGCACGUAGGCGGCUUUUUAAGUCAGAGGUGAAAUCCCGGGGCUCAACCCCGGAACUGCCUUCGAAACUGGAGAGCUAGAAUCUUGGAGAGGCGAGUGGAAUUCCGAGUGUAGAGGUGAAAUUCGUAGAUAUUCGGAAGAACACCAGUGGCGAAGGCGGCUCGCUUGACAAGUAUUGACGCUGAGGUGCGAAAGCGUGGGGAGCAAACAGG